RNAcentral lists this signal recognition particle RNA (96 nucleotides) under Gammaproteobacteria bacterium. RNAcentral describes it as "signal recognition particle sRNA small type". It matches the Rfam family "Bacterial small signal recognition particle RNA". From Rfam's summary of the family: The signal recognition particle (SRP) is a universally conserved ribonucleoprotein involved in the co-translational targeting of proteins to membranes. Archaeal SRP consists of a 7S RNA and homologues of the eukaryotic SRP19 and SRP54 proteins. Lineage: Bacteria; Pseudomonadati; Pseudomonadota; Gammaproteobacteria. The record is from RNAcentral.
CAUUGGUCCCCCGCAACGACAAGCUGUGAACCCCGCCAGGCCCGGAAGGGAGCAACGGUAACAGUGGACUCGUGUGCCGGGGUGCGGCUGGUGCGG